Molecule: long non-coding RNA, 810 nt
Organism: Vespula vulgaris
Lineage: Eukaryota; Metazoa; Arthropoda; Insecta; Hymenoptera; Vespidae
Exons: 5
Source: RefSeq, a predicted model, not a curated record
CAGAGUGCCAGAGCUGUGAACUUCGUCUUCUUUGCUAUUUGAUCUACGAAGUACAACCCCUGCAUAGAUGCAGAGAUCCUAGAAAAAAAGCAGCACUUCCAUAAUGAAGAAAAAUUAUCGAUUAAUGGAGAUUCGUCAUCGAUAGGACUUAUCAAGCGAACUCGUUAUUUCUUGUUACUAGAAAUUUAUCGCUUGACAAGAUCACAAAGAUAUACGGAAGGAAGUUCAUCGAGCUGACUGGUUAAAUUCUUGGAGGAUCAUUUGUCACACGUUUGUUGAGAUUUCAUCAAGGUCAUCUAGAAAGACAAAAGACGUAUUUUAAAGGACACGGCAAACUCGUUACGCCGUGCUAGCUCUUUCAUUCGACAAAUUUAAAUCACGGACUCGGAAGGAUCAUACGCGAUGACUUUCAAUGGAUUCGAGUAAUGACAUCGAGUGCUUCUCGGGACUUCCGUCGUCAAGUGGAACUGAUAAAUAUUCAUCGCCAGAGAGUAAAACAGCGAUCUAUGUACGUCACGAGCAUCAGGCAGAUCAUACUGAAGAGAAUGAGAAAUCGAUAUCUUGAGGAACAAAAGAAGAUUCGCCGAUUAAUUUUUCUUGAUGCAAUAUUCUCGAGUCGUUGUUGACACAUUCAAAAUAAUUUGACGUUGAAAAGAAUAAAGGUGACGUCGUCGUUGUUGAUGUCGACGGUGCAAAGGAUUUCCAUGGGAUACGGCUUGCAAUCGAUAUGCUUUGACGGCAGACAAAGGUUGCCCUGCGUGAAAGAAAAAGGGCUGUGUUAUGUCGCGUGCAUAGUAAAACUCAUAUGUG